Long non-coding RNA from Brassica napus (rape), 2760 nucleotides. RefSeq lists it as uncharacterized. The record is from RefSeq and is a predicted model, not a curated record. The transcript has 5 exons. Lineage: Eukaryota; Viridiplantae; Streptophyta; Magnoliopsida; Brassicales; Brassicaceae.
UUAAUGUAUAUUAUUAUAUUAAAAAAAAUUUGUAUGCGUCUCCAAAAUCUCAGAACCGGCACUGGCGGACCCCAAGCUAUUCACUGAUCCUUUACGGUGUAGUGUUUAUGCCAUCACCAGAUUCACCGCUACGUACAGAUUUAUCUCCUCCGGCAACUGCAUCUGAAGCUUUUCUCCGGUUAAAUGUUUGAAUUGACGUUUGUACACCUUUCUUUUGUGGAUUGAUCAUUAUAUCCUUGAUCCAACAAACCAUAUAGCAUAAUCUAAGAGCAGGAUUAUCCCUGUCUCUUAGAUGGGUCUCUUAACCUAUUUAGGAUUUUAAAAAAAAUGAAAAAUAGAAAUAAACCUUACAGACGUCUCCUAAUUAAGAGAAAGAAGAAACGUAUCUUGUUUCGUCUUCUGCUUACCGGAAAAGAGGAAGGGGAGUUGAUUACUCUGUAAGAGCCAUUGUCUACGUCAAUCUGAAGAACAAAAAUAAUAAUCUGAUUGAUUUCUUUCUAAAUCUGAAUCUAACACUCUCUGAAUCUUCAAAAAAUCGAAUCAUUGCAGAUGGAUUAAGCUUGUCGUGAAACUUCCGAUGUUGCAUUCGGUGACGGUUCCGACAGGAAAGCUAAUCAGAGACGAAGAGCUCGGAGCGAUAUCAGACGACGACGACGAUUUCCCCUGUGGAAAGCGAUCAAAGCUCGACCGGUUCCCUCUCAGCGUCUUCCUCGUCUUCUCCUCUGGUCUCUUCUGCAUCUACAUCACCAUGCCCGCUGCAGAAUCCGGAAAGCUCAAGCUUCCCAAGAAGCAUCUCUGAUCUCCACUCGCUCAAGUGUUUGAAAAGCUCUUCGAGGCAUUUGAGAACUACAUUAUGGAUAUACACAAAACAAAAGUUUCGCAGUUUCUGAUGUUCUAUGCAUGUUCACUCGAUCCUGAAAACUGUGGUGUGAAAUUUGCGGUUAAGCUGAUGGACAUUGGCGAUCAUGUAUGUGCUCUGCUUCCGGAUGACAUCCAUCCUAGCUGUUCCUCGCUUUCGGUCUGAGCUUAUACCAUUGGAGUCAAUUUUAAUGCACAAAGUAAACCCGUUAAAAGAAACUAUAUGCUUGAUGGGCUGAAGUUGGCCACUGGACUCGCCGUCUCCGCAGAACAGGGAAGUGAUGAAGGCUCGCUAGAGCUACUGUGUGGCAAGUGUGUUAAAAAAAACGGGACACAUGUCCCUAGUGUUGUUAACCCGACCCAACUUACCAAAUGGAUCCAGAUGUUCAGAAUUGUGUUAUGCGCAACACGUGCGUCUGGUCUGCACUUAGCAAAUUGGAAAAAAAAUUGAAGAUUAACCAGAGAUUUAUUUUAUACAGUUUUACUAUAUAUAUAUUAUUAUUUGUAUGGAGAAAAUUAAGAUAUGGCAUAGUCUAGCGGGUUUGAGUAAGCGUAUAUGCUUAUAGAGGCCAUGGGUUCGACCUAUGCAGCAUUUGGUUUGGCUAUUUUAUUCCUUUUUUCUUUAAUGAACAUGAAAAUAAUGUUGUCUUUUUAGGUCAGAAACCUUAAUUCUUCGUAUCUGAUUUUUACGUGAUUCUUGGCCGUUUUGAUCUUGAACUUAGCACAUGAUUUUAAGCUUCUAACUUAGGAAAAGGUUGAUUUUUGGUAUGAAAUCUGAUUUCUUGGAUGAUUUAGUGCAAAACACCACGGUUCCUUGCCGGUUAGCGUUUAAACGUCUAGUAAACGUCCAAAUCGGCCGUGUUUUAGAAACUUGUGUUGAUAAGUCUUUUUCAAUCUUUAUGAUCUUUGAACAUGUCAGUAUUAAAAAUGAUUAGACUUGUGUUUAUUGUUUUGUCAUUCUGUAAUUGAUGGUUAAGGUAGCUAAGCUUAAUUACUAUGUACAAUGACAUUACAUGGCCUCAUGAGUAAGCAUUGACUUGGAUCUAGACUGAAGAUCAUGAAGACUACUAUAUAUAUAUAUUCUGCAGACGUGUGUGGUACGCAAACCAAAAUGUAAUGUGGACAAAGAAACAUCUUGUUGUGUAGACUCCAAUUAAACAUAACAUUCUAUUAGUAAAUGGCAAUUAUUAAAUUUUCAUAAUCAUAGACAUCCAAGAUCCCAUGUUGACGUCCAAAUACUAAAAAUAGUAAGUACAUUGUAAUAGCAUUUCCCCCUUUUGAUAUUAUACCUUUCACUUAAUGGAGAAUUAAACUGUACAGACGAUCACUAUGAGAUGGUCUUAUUAACCGUUGGAACGUUUUCUCCCGAUUGUGCUCCCAAGUUUUGAACUUCACCUGAAGAUUGCAAACAUCGGUUUGGAUUUAGGCCAGAUGAAGAACCAACUGAAAACACUUCACCAACACCAAUAUGAAGGCUUAGACGAACCAUUCAUUAAAAAGAAGAAAAAGGAAGGAUAGACGAACCAAUCAAAUUUUGUCAGAUCACCAUCAAAUUAUCAUUAUAGCGACCAAAUCAAUAACACAUUUUUUUUUAAUAUUACAUUCCUUUUCAUGCAACUGAAACUCGCCAGAGUAAACGUAUAUAACUUUAGAGAGAAAUAAACCGAGUGUUUUUAACUUUCCUAGGAAUGAAAGCCUAACAAUUUAGCAUAUUUUCUCAAGCAUAUUUCAUAUUGUUCUAACCAAGACAUGUUACUCUUAUAACAUGACUAAGGGGGCGACUGGUUUUCCCGCUACCAUCCGCAAACACAGCUUUUGCGGUUGGUAGCGGUUGUCAGCGGUUUGCAACAAUCACUCAAAUCGUUCUAAACCGCUUCGAAUCUCAUAAAUCCAAAACCUGGC